RNAcentral lists this ribosomal RNA (503 nucleotides) under uncultured bacterium. RNAcentral describes it as "partial 16S ribosomal RNA". It matches the Rfam family "Bacterial small subunit ribosomal RNA", at positions 30 to 523 of the family's 1533-position model. The record is from RNAcentral.
AUUGAACGCUGGCGGCAGGCUUAACACAUGCAAGUCGAGCGGGGUGAUGGUGCUUGCACUAUCACUUAGCGGCGGACGGGUGAGUAAUGCUUAGGAAUCUGCCUAUUAGUGGGGGACAACAUCUCGAAAGGGAUGCUAAUACCGCAUACGUCCUACGGGAGAAAGCAGGGGAUCACUUGUGACCUUGCGCUAAUAGAUGAGCCUAAGUCGGAUUAGCUAGUUGGUGGGGUAAAGGCCUACCAAGGCGACGAUCUGUAGCGGGUCUGAGAGGAUGAGCCGCCACAAUGGGACGGAGACACGGCCCAGACUCCUACGGGAGGCAGCAGUAGGGAAUAUGGGACAAUGGGGGGAACCCAGAUCCAGCCAUGCCGCGUGUGUGAAGAAGGCCUUAUGGUUGUAAAGCACUUUAAGCGAGGAGGAGGCUCUUUUGGUUAAUACCCAAGAUGAGUGGACGUUACUCGCAGAAUAAGCACCGGCUAACUCUGUGCCAGCCGCCGCGGUAA